UCCGACUUUGUUUCGUGCCGCCCACAUAUUUCAAUAUUUUGCCAACAUGUCACAUGGAUGACAUUCAUUUCCUACAGUCAACACGCACAAUUUGCCGUUCGCAAAUGAAAUGAAUCGCUCCAAGACAACAAAGUCAAACUGCGGAAAAAGCAGCCAGCGCAACUCGUACAAAUCUCCUGACACACCGGAAAAUCUUGAACGAAAAACCCAGAAAAACGAAAGCAGUAAGGGGAAAGCCGAACAUGUUUUAGCCCAAAAGCGAAAAUCAACACAUGCAAAUGGUGAAAGUGAAAGCAGUAGCUGACAGCUCCAGGCCAGAUGGCUGAGAAUAGAUUUCAAAAAAUGUUUAGCAAUAUGUGUACACAACAAAAAAUUAACAAUUUUCUUUAAUAGGUGG
This is a non-coding RNA of Drosophila melanogaster (fruit fly), 397 nucleotides long. The record is from Ensembl. NCBI's taxonomy places the organism in Eukaryota, Metazoa, Arthropoda, Insecta, Diptera, Drosophilidae.